RNAcentral lists this ribosomal RNA (526 nucleotides) under Pseudomonas sp. Its description in RNAcentral is "bacterial SSU rRNA". It matches the Rfam family "Bacterial small subunit ribosomal RNA", at positions 60 to 581 of the family's 1533-position model. The record is from RNAcentral. Lineage: Bacteria; Pseudomonadati; Pseudomonadota; Gammaproteobacteria; Pseudomonadales; Pseudomonadaceae.
AGUCGAGCGGUAGAGAGAAGCUUGCUUCUCUUGAGAGCGGCGGACGGGUGAGUAAUGCCUAGGAAUCUGCCUGGUAGUGGGGGAUAACGCUCGGAAACGGACGCUAAUACCGCAUACGUCCUACGGGAGAAAGCAGGGGACCUUCGGGCCUUGCGCUAUCAGAUGAGCCUAGGUCGGAUUAGCUAGUUGGUGAGGUAAUGGCUCACCAAGGCGACGAUCCGUAACUGGUCUGAGAGGAUGAUCAGUCACACUGGAACUGAGACACGGUCCAGACUCCUACGGGAGGCAGCAGUGGGGAAUAUUGGACAAUGGGCGAAAGCCUGAUCCAGCCAUGCCGCGUGUGUGAAGAAGGUCUUCGGAUUGUAAAGCACUUUAAGUUGGGAGGAAGGGCAUUAACCUAAUACGUUGGUGUCUUGACGUUACCGACAGAAUAAGCACCGGCUAACUCUGUGCCAGCAGCCGCGGUAAUACAGAGGGUGCAAGCGUUAAUCGGAAUUACUGGGCGUAAAGCGCGCGUAGGUGGUUC